RNAcentral lists this unclassified non-coding RNA (290 nucleotides) under uncultured fungus. RNAcentral's name for it is "sequence contains ITS2". Lineage: Eukaryota; Fungi. The record is from RNAcentral.
AACGCACCUUGCGCUUCUUGGUAUUCCUAGAAGCAUGUCUGUUUGAGGGUCUUUAGAUUUUUCAAAUUUCACUGGUGGUUUCCGGUUCAAUUUGGACUGUGGGUGAUGCAGGUCUUGGUGGUCUGCUCACCUCAAAAGUGUUAGCGGAAGUCUUUUGAUUGCUCGUUGUUGGUAUGAUAAUUGUCUAUGCCAUUUGACGAUCGUCAGUUUUUCGCUCCUAAUCGUCCUGGUUUGGACAAGCGACUUGAUUAUUGGACCUCAAAUCAGACAGGAUUACCCGCUGAACUUAA